This 297-nucleotide ribosomal RNA is filed under the name uncultured bacterium. RNAcentral's name for it is "partial 16S ribosomal RNA". It matches the Rfam family "Bacterial small subunit ribosomal RNA", at positions 337 to 651 of the family's 1533-position model. The record is from RNAcentral.
UCCUACGGGACGCAGCAGUGGGGAAUAUUGCACAAUGGGGGAAACCCUGAUGCAGCAACGCCGCGUGAGUGAAGAAGUCAUUCGUGAUGUAAAGCUCUAUCAGCAGGGAAGAAAAUGACGGUACCUGAGUAAGAAGCCCCGGCUAACUACGUGCCAGCAGCCGCGGUAAUACGUAGGUGGCAAGCGUUAUCCGGAUUUACUGGGUGUAAAGGGCGUGUAGGCGGGAGAGCAAGUCAGACGUGAAAUUCCAGGGCUCAACCCUGGAACUGCGUUUGAAACUGUUCUUCUUGAGUGAUG